RNAcentral lists this ribosomal RNA (527 nucleotides) under Wickerhamiella azymoides. Its description in RNAcentral is "partial large subunit ribosomal RNA". It matches the Rfam family "Eukaryotic large subunit ribosomal RNA", at positions 48 to 587 of the family's 3401-position model. Lineage: Eukaryota; Fungi; Ascomycota; Dipodascomycetes; Dipodascales; Trichomonascaceae. The record is from RNAcentral.
UAGCGGAGGAAAAGAAACCAACAGGGAUUGCCUUAGUAGCGGCGAGUGAAGCGGCAAAAGCUCAAAUUUGAAAUCUGCCUUACGGCCGAGUUGUAAUUUGUAGAUGGUAACUCUGUGGCAAGCCUUUGCUCAAGUUUUCUGGAAAGAAACAUCAUGGAGGGUGACAAUCCCGUGAGGCAUUGGUGCAGCUACGUGUAGAGUGCUAUCAAAGAGUCGAGUUGUUUGGGAAUGCAGCUCAAAGUGGGUGGUAGACACCAUCUAAAGCUAAAUAUUGGCGAGAGACCGAUAGCGAACAAGUACUGUGAAGGAAAGAUGAAAAGCACUUUGAAAAGAGAGUGAAAAAGUACGUGAAAUUAUUGAUACAGAAGGGUAUAAAAUUGGACUCAAGGUCUAGGUUCGGUAGCCUCUCGGGGUUGCUUUGUCCUAGGCCCUAAACCAGCAUCAGUUUUGGCAGGUGGAUAAACAACAUGGAAUGUAGCUGCUUGCAGUGUUAUAGACUUGUUGCAUACACCUUGCUGGGACUGAGG